AACGCUGGCGGCAGGCUUAACACAUGCAAGUCGAACGGGCACUUCGGUGCUAGUGGCAGACGGGUGAGUAACACGUGGGAACGUACCUUUCGGUUCGGAAUAAUUCAGGGAAACUUGGACUAAUACCGGAUACGCCCUUCGGGGGAAAGAUUUAUCGCCGAUAGAUCGGCCCGCGUCUGAUUAGCUAGUUGGUGAGGUAAUGGCUCACCAAGGCGACGAUCAGUAGCUGGUCUGAGAGGAUGAUCAGCCACAUUGGGACUGAGACACGGCCCAAACUCCUACGGGAGGCAGCAGUGGGGAAUAUUGGACAAUGGGCGCAAGCCUGAUCCAGCCAUGCCGCGUGAGUGAUGAAGGCCUUAGGGUUGUAAAGCUCUUUUGUCCGGGAAGAUAAUGACUGUACCGGAAGAAUAAGCCCCGGCUAACUUCGUGCCAGCAGCCGCGGUAAUACGAAGGGGGCUAGCGUUGCUCGGAAUCACUGGGCGUAAAGGGCGCGUAGGCGGACUCU
Molecule: ribosomal RNA, 505 nt
Filed under: Allobosea sp. D199b
Lineage: Bacteria; Pseudomonadati; Pseudomonadota; Alphaproteobacteria; Hyphomicrobiales; Alloboseaceae
Description: bacterial SSU rRNA
Rfam family: Bacterial small subunit ribosomal RNA
Source: RNAcentral